GAUGAAGAACGUAGCGAAAUGCGAUAAGUAAUGUGAAUUGCAGAAUUCAGUGAAUCAUCGAAUCUUUGAACGCACAUUGAGCCCGCCAGUAUUCUGGCGGGCAUGCCUGUCCGAGCGUCAUUUCAACCAUCAAGCCCCCGGGCUUGUGUUGGGGACCUGCGGCUGCCCGCAGGCCCUGAAAACCAGUGGCGGGCUCGCUGUCACACCGAGCGUAGUAGCAAUCACCUCGCUCAGGGCGUGCUGCGGGUUCCGGCCGUUAAACAGCCUUACAAAACCCAAGGUUGACCUCGGAUCAGGUAGGAAGACCCGCUGAACUUAAGCAUAUCAAUAAGCGGAGGA
This 339-nucleotide unclassified non-coding RNA is filed under the name soil metagenome. Its description in RNAcentral is "partial contains 5.8S ribosomal RNA, internal transcribed spacer 2, and large subunit ribosomal RNA". The stretch from base 1 to 120 matches the Rfam family "5.8S ribosomal RNA", at positions 35 to 154 of the family's 154-position model. The record is from RNAcentral.